This is a long non-coding RNA of Myotis lucifugus (little brown bat), 2452 nucleotides long. RefSeq lists it as uncharacterized. The transcript is spliced from 3 exons. Lineage: Eukaryota; Metazoa; Chordata; Mammalia; Chiroptera; Vespertilionidae. The record is from RefSeq and is a predicted model, not a curated record.
GAACAAGUUACUUGGAGUCUAUUAAUUAAAGCAUUCCCUGCUAGGUUCAUAAGAGCAAACACGCUUAAUAUUCAUUACAUUGUCCAUUUAUAAGAAAAUAAUGAUUCACAUUUUAAAUGGUAAUUUUUCCCUCUGUGAAUUGAUAAAUUUCUUCACUGCUGAAAAAUAGUUGUGAUUUUUAAUGUAUUCAUGCCUCACAAAUUAUAUAGAUGAUAUGUCUUCAAACAGGCUCACUACCCCUUCCUGCCCCCCCCAUUUUUCCCUAUUCUAACUACACACGAGAAAGAUAGACUUUGUUUAAAUAUUGGAUUUGUGAUUUUCUUAAUCCAAUAUUAGUCUAAGGUUAAGGCAGCUUUGAUAGUUACUUUUCCAAAAAUGUUUUACGUCCAAAAUUCUUAGAGGAGACCUUCGGUUUCAGCCAAUACUUUUCAACUUUACUUAAGUUAUGAUCAGAAGUAUUAGAAAUAUAUGGUGAAAUUAAAUUAUGCUUUAAUUCACUUCACACCCUUGGUGACAAUUUGUAUUUGUAGAUGACUUUUUAAACUAUAGUUUUUACAAACUAUGUUUUUAUGGAUGUUAAAGCAGAAAUAAACAGACUUCAUUUUUUCAAAUCUAGCCUGCUGCUUAUGUAAAGUGACCAUAUGCCCUGGCUUACCAGCAACUGUUCUGGUUAAUAUCUGUUGUUCUGGCUAAUUAUUAAUAGGGCUCCUGUUUAAUCUAAAAAAUGUUCUGGUUUUGGUUAUAAAUCAUAUGAUCAGAAGCUUUAAGGAAUUUGAAGUAUAAACUAAUAAAAAAAGGUCAUUUUUAAAAUGACCUUUUGUAGUCAGGAGUAUUUCCUUCUCAACUAUGUACAGACCUAUCUAAACUUUAAAAAAAAUAAUAUUAUGGUAUAGAUAAUAUAAGCAAUAAUAUUAUUUGAUUUAUUGAUAGUACUCUGAAAUUCCUGAGUUUAGAAGUAGUUUGUUUAAUACUGACAGGAAAUGAAUUCAGGAACAAUUAGUGAUGGUAAGAAACAAAGUGCUUUUCCUAUAUAUCUUCUCUUUUGAAGCUAAAUAUAACUGUCAUAAAAUUAGAGCAGGACCAGUUUUCAUCUUUCUAGAGAAGUUGAGAAAUUAGGUGGUUUGACUAGCAUUAUAUGUACAAACUAAUAGAUAAGUUGAUCCAAGACUUCAGACCCAAUCUUCUUGCUAUAAAUCCUAUAGCUAUGCUCUCUGCAGCAUACCCUACUAGUUUUGAGUAGUAAAUUUAUUUAAAACUUAUCCUGUGCUUUUAAAUUUUUUAAUUUAGAAAAUAUUUUUGAGAAAAUAACCAAAUAAAGUUUCUGAAUUUUGAUUAAAAAUUUCUAUUACCUACAGGCAGUUCUGGUACAUUUUUUUAUUUACUUCAGAAAGCUUUACAUUUUAUGAGGUUACUAAAAGGACUCAGGGUUGGAGUGAAGCACCUAUUUUAGAUUUUUUUGCAAUUAUAAUUGUAUUUCAUAGUAAUUAUGGCACACGUGCCUUUUUAUUUGUCUUAUAAUAGGUGUAGAUAUUUGAGAGAUGAAUAUAAAUUGACUUAAUAGAAUUGGCAAACAUGUUCAUAUUAGCCUUUCUCAAAUCUAGAGAAUCCCAAGCUGUGGAUUCUUCUAUAAAGUAAAUUUAAAACUAAAUAGAUUAAAGGACCUUGAGUUAUGUUGUAAUCUUAGAAGGGACCAGAGCAGGAAGUGCUCCAAAAAAUUGUGACAAUUGUGUGUUCUACAAUCAGUGAUGGCGUAUAGCCAUUCCCAGCAUAUGGUACUUGGUAAGUCCUGAGCUGGGAGAUAGGACCAGGGUUUAAGCUCUGGCCCUAUCUCUGAUUAUCUGCUUUUUUUUCUAGACAAGUGUUAUUCCCCAAUUGAAAAAUGAGAAUAUUCAUGGUUACAGUGUCCAAAAGAGUUGUUGUAAGACUUCAUAGAAGUUUGAAGCAGCAUGCCUAUUGAGCAAGCAGAGUGGUGGAAGAAGAACCUUUCCUAUUGGGAACAGAAGGCAUGUGCAAAGGUUCUGCUCUGGAGCAUCACUGUGAAUUCUGGAAACUGUUUCUACAGUCUGUGGAACAUGGAAUCAAACCAGAAUAUGUUGGCAUAACAGGCCCGUCAAACCGGUUCUUCUGUAGAUCCAGAACCCGUCCAACCAGUCUGCAUCAAAGGCUCGCCCAACAAGCUGCAGCGGCUCAGCUCUGCUAAGCCUGUACCGGAUUGAGAGGAGAGACCAGAAUGUAAGAUGCAAACUCAAGAAAUCUACCCAGAAUUGUGGCAAAGAAAAAACAGACUCAAGUCAUUCAGUUGGUACCAAAGCCAGAUUUCCUCCAAGCAUCUGUACCUUAGGGGAAGAAAGAACAGAAAUUUAGGAACUCAAGAGAUCUGGGUAGGAGCUCAAAUCAGCAGCCUGAUCUUCACAAGGGCAAUCUAAAGGGGGCAGUGCAGGGUGGGAGAGGG